CAGUAGCCGCGGUAAAACGAAGGGUGCAAGCGUUACUCGGAAUUACUGGGCGUAAAGCGUGCGUAGGUGGUGGUUUAAGUCCGUUGUGAAAGCCCUGGGCUCAACCUGGGAAUUGCAGUGGAUACUGGGUCACUAGAGUGUGGUAGAGGAUAGUGGAAUUUCCGGUGUAGCAGUGAAAUGCGUAGAGAUCGGAAGGAACAUCUGUGGCGAAGGCGACUAUCUGGGCCAACACUGACACUGAGGCACGAAAGCGUGGGGAGCAAACAGGAUUAGAUACCCGCGUAGUCCCUGUCUCUUAUAC
This 301-nucleotide ribosomal RNA is filed under the name uncultured bacterium. RNAcentral describes it as "partial 16S ribosomal RNA". It matches the Rfam family "Bacterial small subunit ribosomal RNA", at positions 509 to 807 of the family's 1533-position model. The record is from RNAcentral.